CCCUUAGAUGUCCGGGGCCGCACGCGCGCUACACUGAAGGAAUCAGCGUGGCUUUCUCCCUGACCCGAAAGGGUUGGGAAACCCGUUGAAUCUCCUUCGUGAUAGGGAUUGGGGCUUGAAAUUGUUCCCCAUGAACGAGGAAUUCCCAGUAAGCGCGAGUCAUAAGCUCGCGUUGAUUACGUCCCUGCCCUUUGUACACACCGCCCGUCGCUACUACCGAUUGAACGGUUUAGUGAGGGCCUCGGAUUGGUCUCGGCCCGCUCUUUACCGGGCGGCGCCGUUGGUCGAGAAGACGCUCGAACUUGAUCGGUUAGAGGAAGUAAAAGUCGUAACA
This 334-nucleotide ribosomal RNA is filed under the name uncultured eukaryote. Its description in RNAcentral is "partial 18S ribosomal RNA". It matches the Rfam family "Eukaryotic small subunit ribosomal RNA", at positions 1470 to 1796 of the family's 1831-position model. The record is from RNAcentral.